RNAcentral lists this ribosomal RNA (264 nucleotides) under uncultured archaeon. RNAcentral describes it as "partial 16S ribosomal RNA". It matches the Rfam family "Archaeal small subunit ribosomal RNA", at positions 719 to 982 of the family's 1478-position model. The record is from RNAcentral.
ACAGUCACACAUUAGAUACCCGCGUAGUCCUAGCCGUAAACGAUACUCGCUAGGUGUCGGCCACGGUGCGACCGUUGUCGGUGCCGUAGGGAAGCCGUGAAGCGAGCCACCUGGGAAGUACGGCCGCAAGGCUGAAACUUAAAGGAAUUGGCGGGGAGCACAACAACGGGUGGAGCUUGCGGUUUAAUUGGAUUCAACGCCGGAAAUCUUACCGGGACCGACAGCAACAUGAAGGCCAAGCUGAAGACUUUGCCGGAUUAGCUA